UUGGUGCUUGCAUCAUGAUUUACAUUUGAGUGAGUGGCGAACUGGUGAGUAACACGUGGGAAACCUGCCCAGAAGCGGGGGAUAACACCUGGAAACAGAUGCUAAUACCGCAUAACAACUUGGACCGCAUGGUCCGAGUUUGAAAGAUGGCUUCGGCUAUCACUUUUGGAUGGUCCCGCGGCGUAUUAGCUAGAUGGUGGGGAUGAUACGGCUCACCAUGGCAAUGAUACGUAGCCGACCUGAGAGGGUAAUCGGUCCACAUUGGGACUGAGACACGGCCCAAACUCCUACKGGAGGCAGCAGUAGGGAAUUCUUCCACAAUGGCACGAAAGUUCUGAUGGUAGGCAACGCCGCCGUGAGUGAAGAAGGGUUUCGGCUCGUAAAACUCUGUUGUUAAAGAAGAACAUAUCUGAGAGUAACUGUUCAGGUAUUGACGGUAUUUAAUCCAGAAAGCCACGGCUAACUACGUGCCAGCAGCCGCGGUAAUACGUAGGUGGCAAGCGUUGUCCGGAUUUAUUGGGCGUAAAGCGAGCGCAGGCGGUUUUUUAAGUCUGAUGUGAAAGCCUUUCGGCUCAWCCGAAGAAGUGCAUCGGAAACUGGGAAACUUGAGUGCAGAAGAGGACAGUGGAACUCCAUGUGUAGCGGUGAAAUGCGUAGAUAUAUGGAAGAACACCAGUGGCGAAGGCGGCUGUCUGGUCUGUAACUGACGCUGAGGCUCGAAAGUAUGGGUAGCAAACAGGAUUAGAUACCCUGGUAGUCCAUACCGUAAACGAUGAAUGCUAAGUGUUGGAGGGUUUCCGCCCUUCAGUGCUGCAGCUAACGCAUUAAGCAUUCCGCCUGGGGGAGUACGGGCCGCAAGGCUGAAACUCAAAGGAAUUUGACGGGGGCYCGCACAAGCGGUGGAGCAUGUGGUUUAAUUCGAAGCUACGCGAAGAACCUUACCAGGUCUUGACAUACUAUGCAAAUCUAAGAGAUUAGACGUUUCCCUUCGGGGACAUGGAUACAGGUGGUGCAUGGUUGUCGUCAGCUCGUGUCGUGAGAUGUUGGGUUAAGUCCCUGCAACGAGCGCAACCCUUAUUAUCAGUUGCCAGCAUUAAGUUGGGCACUCUGGUGAGACUGCCGGUGACAAACCGGAGGAAGGUGGGGAUGACGUCAAAUCAUCAUGCCCCUUAUGACCUGGGCUCACACACGUGCUACAAUGGAUGGUACAACGAGUUGCGAACUCGCGAGAGUAAGCUAAUCUCUUAAAGCCAUUCUCAGUUCGGAUUGUAGGCUGCAACUCGCCUACAUGAAGUCGGAAUCGCUAGUAAUCGCGGAUCAGCAUGCCGCGGUGAAUACGUUCCCGGGCCUUGUACACACCGCCCGUCACAC
RNAcentral lists this ribosomal RNA (1371 nucleotides) under Lactiplantibacillus plantarum. RNAcentral's name for it is "bacterial SSU rRNA". It matches the Rfam family "Bacterial small subunit ribosomal RNA", at positions 73 to 1402 of the family's 1533-position model. The record is from RNAcentral. Lineage: Bacteria; Bacillati; Bacillota; Bacilli; Lactobacillales; Lactobacillaceae.